Molecule: unclassified non-coding RNA, 1839 nt
Filed under: Homo sapiens (human)
Lineage: Eukaryota; Metazoa; Chordata; Mammalia; Primates; Hominidae
Description: BCL2-like 12 (proline rich), transcript variant 29
Source: RNAcentral
AUGGGACGGCCCGCUGGGCUGUUCCCGCCCCUAUGCCCUUUUUUGGGUUUCCGGCCAGAGGCAUGCUGGGAGCGUCACAUGCAAAUUGAGCGUGCACCCAGCGUUCCGCCCUUUCUACGCUGGGCCGGUUAUCGACCCGGCCCAGUGCGCAGGCGCGGGAAAGUUGAACUAAUAAAGUUUGUACGAGUUCAGUGGAGGAGACCGCAAGUUGAGUGGAGGAGGCGGCGGUGGGGCCCCGGACCAGGUCAGCGGGGUGUUGACGAGGGGUGGGGUGAGGAGGGAAGAGGAGGGGGCCGGGAUCCAGUGGUGGGCACCCCAGUCCCGCUUCUCUGAUAUCCAAGGGUCCAGGGUCCUCUAGAUUCCAGCAGGGGUCGGAGAUUUGGAACUACACCUCACAGCAGGCUGCGCGGCGAAGAAGCGCGGACCUAGGGGAAGAUUUGCCCUGAAACCUCUUGGGAUUGGUAGUUCCCGAUGCUUUAAGGGUUUCAGGAGUUUGGCAUAUGCCUCUUAUAGAAUCCAGGAGUUGGGGCGCUAAGCCUCUUCUUCCUGGGAGACCUAAGGGUCUGGGGCUCCAGUUCCUUUUUCUCUAAGACUCAGAAGUCCAGGACCCCAGCUCCCUCCUCCUUUAGACCCACGAAUCUGGGCACCCAGCCCCACCACCUUUCCUUGGAUCGAAGAGUCUUUUUCCUGAUCGCUUUUUCGUCUGAGGACUCAAGAGUCUAGGCCCCCAGACCCACACUCUCCAAAGGACCCAGGAGUCCAGGCCCUCAGCACCUUCCUUGGGACUCACAAGUCCUGGUCCCCAAGCCUCCACUUCUUGCUAAACCCUUGGAGUCCAGUCCCUAACCCUCUCUCUCACAGGUGCCUCCAUGGCAGGCUCUGAAGAGCUGGGGCUCCGGGAAGACACGCUGAGGGUCCUAGCUGCCUUCCUUAGGCGUGGUGAGGCUGCCGGGUCUCCUGUUCCAACUCCACCUAGAAGCCCUGCCCAAGAAGAGCCAACAGACUUCCUGAGCCGCCUUCGAAGAUGUCUUCCCUGCUCCCUGGGGCGAGGAGCAGCCCCCUCUGAGUCCCCUCGGCCUUGCUCUCUGCCCAUCCGCCCCUGCUAUGGUUUAGAGCCUGGUAAGAGAUUUCCAUGAUCAUCUAUGAAGCCGGCAGAACACGGGAUAAGGCCCAGCUACUCCAGACUUCUAUGCUUUGGUGGCCCAGCGGCUGGAACAGCUGGUCCAAGAGCAGCUGAAAUCUCCGCCCAGCCCAGAAUUACAGGGUCCCCCAUCGACAGAGAAGGAAGCCAUACUGCGGAGGCUGGUGGCCCUGCUGGAGGAGGAGGCAGAAGUCAUUAACCAGAAGCUGGCCUCGGACCCCGCCCUGCGCAGCAAGCUGGUCCGCCUGUCCUCCGACUCUUUCGCCCGCCUGGUGGAGCUGUUCUGUAGCCGGGAUGACAGCUCUCGCCCAAGCCGAGCAUGCCCCGGGCCCCCGCCUCCUUCCCCGGAGCCCCUGGCCCGCCUGGCCCUAGCCAUGGAGCUGAGCCGGCGCGUGGCCGGGCUGGGGGGCACCCUGGCCGGACUCAGCGUGGAGCACGUGCACAGCUUCACGCCCUGGAUCCAGGCCCACGGGGGCUGGGAGGGCAUCCUGGCUGUUUCACCCGUGGACUUGAACUUGCCAUUGGACUGAGCUCUUUCUCAGAAGCUGCUACAAGAUGACACCUCAUGUCCCUGCCCUCUUCGUGUGCUUUUCCAAGUCUUCCUAUUCCACUCAGGGCUGUGGGGUGGUGGUUGCCCUACCUGUUUUUGCCAAAAAUAAAUUGUUUAAAACUUUUCUUAUUAAAAACGUUACAAAGUA